CAUUCCGGUAUGUCUCCCGAGCGCAGGCUUCUGUCUGGUAGUGGCCUCAUCAUAACCAAAUGGCUACAAAGCACACAUUCGUGCAAUGUAUGGUAACACAACGGAGCGAACGUAAGGCUGGGCUGUCCAGGUAGUCAUGACCGGACCUGCAUGCGUACGAGCGCGAACUGCUUGCGUAGCAAGUUGCUUUUACACGGGAUGAGCCGGUUAGAUGCAAUUGACCGACACGACAUGAGCAAACAGACCCGUGCCAGAUAUGCAACCAAUAAAACGCAAACUUGAAACACAAUUCGAGCAGCAAAUGCAUCGGCCAACAGGUACGGAAUAAUACUUACACUUGUUUCGUGUCUCUCAUUGCCACAUUGAGUCAAACAGAUUAGUUAUGAGCUCCUCAAUGUAGAUUUAUUAGCUUAUCAGCUCAAUGUCUGCUGCGGAUUUGCAGAAAUAGCACAGCAAAUCCUCAUUCAACUUCCAUCAAAAACAAUCAUCACUAUCGCAUUGCCGAUCACCAGCAUUUCCAGCAUUUUCAUAUUCUUGUAUCGUUUUUUGUAAAGGCACUGGCCUCAAUACCUCCGAAGCUUUUCCUUCAAGCACAGGAAUGGGAUGUUGACGUCAGAUUAAACUUCUCGUCAUGCAUAUGCCAAGCACACUAAACCAGAGCUUUCGAUGCGUAGUGAUGCUCUAUUACGAGGUGUAUCCUAGUUAUAUCCGCUGUCAGGUGCCUAAUAGUUAAUGAAUGUUGAUAGAGACCUCGCAGAGUUCGGGAGGAUGAUUUCUAUCCAAUGACCUCACACGUCCUUUAGGCUCAGAAGAUCGCUAUUCAGCAUAGGAAUAUGCCGGAAUUCUAUUAGAAGAAAAUAAGUUCUCGUCAGAUUGAAUAAUAUUAUUUGGUGAAAUUGGAUAAUCAGUGGCCUUGUCCCAUGCGCAUAGAGAUAAUAAGAAAUGCUCAGUUUUUGCGAAUUGGUUUAUAGAGCGCAAGUAGAAAAUAAAAUAAAAUAAAAUAAAAUAAUCGGGAAAAAUAAUAGUGAUAAAUCACAAACCACAGG
Molecule: small RNA, 1046 nt
Filed under: Histoplasma capsulatum
Lineage: Eukaryota; Fungi; Ascomycota; Eurotiomycetes; Onygenales; Ajellomycetaceae
Also listed under: 1 other name
Description: hypothetical RNA
Source: RNAcentral